AUGACAGGGUCAGCCCGAACCAUUGGUCUCAGUUGCAAUGAACAGGGGAAAAGGAAAACCAGAACAAUUGUGGUGAGCAAAAAGAACCAAAGAACCACAACAAGUGAAGAGACAACAAGAGGAACAGAGCUGGGAGAAAAUCACCGUUCUUCUGUAAGUAGAUGGCCACGUUGCCUGCUAAAACAUUGCCUAAAAGUCCAGAGACACUCAGGUGAAAUUGCCAUUGCCUCCUUUGCACACCCAGCUGCUAGCACGUCCUGUUGUUUUAAGCAUCUGUGGUGGGCUUGGCAUUUUUGGUUUGUGGUUUUGCUGUUACCUUUCUGUUAUGGCUAAUUAGUGCUACUAUUAAUAUCUGCCGAAGUCUUCCAGGUGUGGUGGUGGAAACCAACUGAUGAUGGGCAAGCGAUCUGGGCUGCUGGUGUUCCCAGCGUAAGGUCUAAUGGUGAGGAGAUGUGAGAUGCUUUUGGAUCUUUUCCUGUGGUGGUUAGAUAGCAAGGCUUUCAACAACUUCAGUUCCAGCUGGGUCAUUGGGAUUCUGAACUAUGUACUUCAGCAUAGCUCAUGGAUUUUAAACCUGUCACAUUGUACUGUUAUUAUAGAUAUGGUCCUGCACUUGCAAGCUGUUUUCUUGAUCUUUUGCCAGCAAGGCUUUUGUAGCAGUCCUUGGAAGAUAUACUGUAGCAGUUCUCUUUUAUAAUAUCUAUCAUUAACACCUCGUUGGCAUCUGUAAGAGUUUCUUCUUUGCUGGAGAUUGGAGCAGUUGAUUAAGCAGCCUUUUGCUGUCCACAGGCAAUUUCUCAGAUUUCCACCUUGUUUCAGAUCCACCUUUUCUAGCAAAGGUCCUGGAAAAAGGUUGUGGCAGGGCAACUACAGCCCUUACCUUCAUGAUAAUAAUAAACCGUUUGAAAAAUUUCA
Molecule: long non-coding RNA, 915 nt
Filed under: Anser brachyrhynchus (Pink-footed goose)
Lineage: Eukaryota; Metazoa; Chordata; Aves; Anseriformes; Anatidae
Description: lncRNA (ENSABRG00000018004.1)
Source: RNAcentral